This 458-nucleotide ribosomal RNA is filed under the name uncultured bacterium. RNAcentral's name for it is "partial 16S ribosomal RNA". It matches the Rfam family "Bacterial small subunit ribosomal RNA", at positions 338 to 795 of the family's 1533-position model. The record is from RNAcentral.
CCUACGGGAGGCAGCAGUGAGGAAUAUUGGUCAAUGGGCGCGAGCCUGAACCAGCCAAGUCGCGUGAGGGAGUACUGCCCUAUGGGUUGUAAACCUCUUUUGUCGGGGAGCAAAAGCCGGACGUGUCCGGCUGUGAGAUUACCCGUAGAAAAAGCAUCGGCUAACUCCGUGCCAGCAGCCGCGGUAAUACGGAGGAUUCGAGGGUUAUCCGGAUUUGUUGGGUUUAAGGGGGGCGCAGGCGGAUUUUGACGUCAGCGGUCAAAUCGUGGGGCUCAACCCCAUCCAGCCGUUGAAACUGGGGAUCUAGAGUGUGCGAGAGGUAGGCGGAAUGCGUGGUGUAGCGGUGAAAUGCAUAGAUAACACGCAGAACCCCGAUUGCGAAGGCAGCACACCGGGGCACAACUGACGCUCAGGCACGAAAGCGUGGGUAUCGAACAGGAUUAGAUACCCCUGUAGUC